Peromyscus maniculatus bairdii (prairie deer mouse) is the source of this 1816-nucleotide non-coding RNA. Lineage: Eukaryota; Metazoa; Chordata; Mammalia; Rodentia; Cricetidae. The record is from RefSeq and is a predicted model, not a curated record.
AAACCCGAGCUCAGCUCUAAGUUCAGCGCGGCGGCCGGCCGGGAGCCGCUUUUAGCGCCUCCCUUGACUUUUACCUAGGGCGCGCCUUCCCUUUUACUGCGCCUGCGUGCGCGCGCAAACGACAGGCCCCGCCUCUCCGGUAGGGACGACAGACGUGCGCCGGGAGGCGGGCUGCGCACGCGCGAUCGCCCGCGUCAGCCACUUGCGCGGGGCCGGUGACUUGAAAGUACCGGGUCGUCCUGUGUUCGGCGCGGGGUCUGCAGCCGCGCAGCGUGGAUCGGCGCGCGCGGAGACCGAGAAAAGCGUGGGGACGGGGAAGGCUCUGCCUCGGGGCUGCAGGAGUCAGAGGUAGUGUUUCUUUCCUGUCCCCUCCCCAGCCUAGAACUCGCUCCCCCCCCACCCCCCGCCUCCAACCCUGCCUCUCUCUCCUGGGGACCCCUUCCGCGCCUCCUGUUUCCGAAAGUGAGCCCCUGGCAAGGUCAUGAAGCUUGUGAGGAAGGACAUCGAGAAGGACAAUGCGGGCCAGGUCACCCUCGUCCCCGAGGAGCCCGAGGACAUGUGGCACACCUACAAUCUAGUGCAGGUGGGCGACAGCCUGCGCGCCUCCACCAUCCGCAAGGUCCAGACCGAGUCCUCCACGGGCAGCGUGGGGAGCAACCGUGUCCGCACCACCCUCACCCUCUGCGUGGAGGCCAUCGACUUUGACUCUCAAGCCUGCCAGCUGCGGGUGAAGGGGACCAAUAUCCAAGAGAAUGAGUACGUCAAGAUGGGGGCUUACCACACCAUCGAACUGGAGCCCAACCGCCAGUUCACCCUGGCCAAGAAACAGUGGGACAGUGUGGUUCUGGAACGCAUCGAGCAGGCUUGUGACCCAGCUUGGAGCGCUGAUGUGGCAGCCGUGGUCAUGCAGGAGGGCCUCGCCCACGUCUGCUUAGUCACGCCCAGUAUGACCCUCACCCGUGCCAAGGUGGAGGUGAACAUCCCCAGGAAACGGAAAGGCAACUGCGCCCAGCAUGACCGGGCCCUGGAGAGGUUCUAUGAACAGGUGGUCCAGGCCAUCCAGCGCCACAUAAACUUUGAUGUUGUCAAGUGCGUCCUCGUGGCCAGCCCAGGAUUUGUACGAGAGCAGUUCUGCGACUACAUGUUUCAGCAAGCGGUCAAGACGGACAACAAAGUGCUCCUGGAAAACCGGUCCAAAUUCCUGCAGGUACACGCCUCCUCUGGACACAAGUACUCCCUGAAAGAGGCCCUUUGUGACCCUACUGUAGCUAGCCGCCUUUCAGACACGAAAGCUGCCGGGGAAGUGAAAGCCUUGGACGACUUCUAUAAAAUGUUACAGCAUGAACCUGACCGAGCUUUCUACGGACUCAAGCAGGUGGAGAGGGCCAACGAAGCCUUGGCGAUCGACACGUUGCUCAUCAGUGAUGAGCUCUUCCGGCAUCAGGAUGUGGCCACCCGGAGCCGGUAUGUCAGGCUGGUGGACAGUGUGAAGGAUAACGCAGGCACCGUCCGGAUAUUCUCUAGCCUCCACGUGUCUGGGGAACAGCUUGGCCAGUUGACUGGAGUAGCUGCCCUUCUCCGCUUCCCAGUGCCGGAACUUUCUGACCAAGAGGAUGAUUCAAGUUCUGAAGAGGAUUAAGACUGACCUUUAAUAGUUGCUUCUUCUCUCUUACUUUUUUUCUUCUUCUCGGCAUCCCUUGACAGGUGCAAGACAGGCACUUGUUGAUCGUGCUGAGAUUUCUUGUGUGUUGGUCACACUAGGUGUUUUCUGGUUGGCAGGACAUGUAUUUAAAUGAAAUAAACCAAAAGAAAAGAA